Long non-coding RNA from Tigriopus californicus, 401 nucleotides. RefSeq lists it as uncharacterized. The record is from RefSeq and is a predicted model, not a curated record. Lineage: Eukaryota; Metazoa; Arthropoda; Copepoda; Harpacticoida; Harpacticidae. The transcript is spliced from 2 exons.
AAAAUGUUGCGCAUAUGGAGAUGAUGGAGCAGCUACCACAGGCUAUGAUUGCGUUAUCAUUCCUGGAGCUUUGAAAUCAGGACAAACCCAAGAGUUCGCAGGAAAUUCCCAAAUCUGCGGAAGAAAGCUUAUUACAACCACAACAGCUAAAGAUGCCAACAAGACUGUUUGCACCAAGCAAAGGCCUUUCCACAUCACUUUUCGGUCCGACAAUUUUGAAUUUAUGAUGGAAUCUAAGGAGAUGAUUAAUGAGGGAUUCCGUUUGGCAUACACUCAAAAAAGUUGCUAAUGUACCACUUUAAACUAAAGAGUGUCUUUCCACUUUUCAAGUGAUUUAGUUAUGUUCUUCAAUUUUUUUAAAGCCUGUUUGAUAAGAAAUAAAGCACAAUUUAAUAAAUGCA